Molecule: long non-coding RNA, 1169 nt
Organism: Gossypium arboreum
Lineage: Eukaryota; Viridiplantae; Streptophyta; Magnoliopsida; Malvales; Malvaceae
Exons: 2
Source: RefSeq, a predicted model, not a curated record
CAUGUUAAUCUAAAAUUAUAUUUUGACAUUUAAAAAUUUAUACUAAAUUUUGAUUCUCUUAAGUUCUUUUUAUAUUUACCCUUGUCAGCGACUAUUUUCAAAUUUCAAUGAUGAUAGUUUUCAUUUUUAAACCCCAUGUUGAUCUUUUCACUUUCCUAACCAAAACCCACCAACUUGAUAGGGAGGGAAAGAGAGAAAGGGGCUAAAUUGAGGGUGGGUUUACUAAAGUCUAAGGAGAAAGAAAGAGAGUUUGAGUGCAGUAGAAGGCUACAGAAAGAACAAAGCAAUUUUUUGUUAUGGUAUAAAAGUUGGCAAGGGUCGAGCAUCAGUAUAUUAGGAGUGAGGGUGUCUUUUCUUUUAUUUCUGUUAAUUCUGUUAGUUUAACUUUUGCUUGUGAAACGCUGUGUUUUAGAUUUGUUAGAAUUAAUGAAAAUGUUAUGUUUUGGAGAGGGGAAACCUUUUAGUAAAAUGGUGCACAUGUGCCAGUUGUCAGAUGGGCAUUAUUUUCCAUUUUUAAGCAUCAAUCAGUGCUGGUUGUUGGUUAUGGAAUUUCAGAAUUAAUUUUUCAGUCUUCUUUCUUCUCUAAGCUUUCUUUCUCUCUUUUCUGUGGAAUUUCUUCUUUUUCUUGCAUCAAAGGUAUCGGAGCCUCUCAAUUCUCAUGGCCAACAAAGGAGUUACCACCAGGCUUCAAAAGAAAAUGAGACUGUUGUAGCAGCAGUUCACCCAAUUGCAACCAAACCUUGACUAAAAGAUUGACUCAUGUUUGAAGGACUUCAAUGACACUAUCAAAGAUAGAUCAUUAUUGAAGGAAUCAAUGAGAAUUCUUGAGAGAAUGAUGACCAAAAAGGGCAAUCAGACCAACACUGAAGUGUUAGUGGAAUGGGUAGACACCUUUCCAGAGGACUCGAAUUGGGAGGUUUGGACAGAGUUUCAACAGCAAUAUCCUUCUUUUGAUCUUUGAGGACAAUGAUCUGCUUUAAGUGAGGAGUAUUUGUUCUGGUAUGAAAGUUGGUAGGGGUCGAGCAUCAAUAUAUUAGGAGCAAGGGUGUCUUUUCUUUUAUUUCUGUUAAUGUUGUUAGUUUAAUUUUUGCUUGUGAAAUGCUACAUUUUAAAUUUGCUAGAAUUAAUGAAAACGUUGUGUUUUGGGGAGGGGAAAUCGUUUAGUGAAA